Molecule: ribosomal RNA, 476 nt
Filed under: uncultured Latescibacterota bacterium
Lineage: Bacteria; Pseudomonadati; Candidatus Latescibacterota
Description: bacterial SSU rRNA
Rfam family: Bacterial small subunit ribosomal RNA
Source: RNAcentral
GAAGUUGACGGGGCCCGCACAAGCGGUGGAACAUGUGGUUCAAUUCGACGCUACGCGAAGAACCUUACCAAGGCUUGACAUCCCCUGACAGCGUCAGAGACGGCGUUUUCCCUUCGGGGACAGGGAGACAGGUGGUGCAUGGUUGUCGUCAGCUCGUGCCGUGAGGUGUUGGGUUAAGUCCCGCAACGAGCGCAACCCUUAUCCCCAGUUGCCAUCAGGUAAAGCUGGGAACUCUGGGGAGACUGCCGGUGAUAAACCGGAGGAAGGCGGGGAUGACGUCAAGUCCUCAUGGCCCUUACAUCCCGGGCUACACACGUGCUACAAUGGCAGGUACAGAGGGCUGCGAAGCCGCGAGGUGGAGCGAAUCCCAGAAAACCUGUCUCAGUCCGGAUUGAAGUCUGCAACUCGACUUCAUGAAGGCGGAAUCGCUAGUAACCGCGAAUCAGCAGGUCGCGGUGAAUACGUUCCCGGGCCUU